AUUGAACGCUGGCGGCAUGCUUUACACAUGCAAGUCGAACGGUAACAGGCCUUCGGGUGCUGACGAGUGGCGAACGGGUGAGUAAUGCAUCGGAACGUGCCCAGAGGUGGGGGAUAACGCAGCGAAAGCUGUGCUAAUACCGCAUGUGAUCUGAGGAUGGAAGCGGGGGACCAAGCAGCAAUGUUUGGCCUCGCGCCUCUGGAGCGGCCGAUGUCAGAUUAGGUAGUUGGUGGGGUAAAGGCCUACCAAGCCGACGAUCUGUAGCUGGUCUGAGAGGACGACCAGCCACACUGGGACUGAGACACGGCCCAGACUCCUACGGGAGGCAGCAGUGGGGAAUUUUGGACAAUGGGCGCAAGCCUGAUCCAGCAAUGCCGCGUGCGGGAAGAAGGCCUUCGGGUUGUAAACCGCUUUUGUACGGAACGAAAAGGCUCUGGCUAAUACCUGGGGCUGAUGACGGUACCGUAAGAAUAAGCACCGGCUAACUACGUG
RNAcentral lists this ribosomal RNA (492 nucleotides) under uncultured bacterium. Its description in RNAcentral is "partial 16S ribosomal RNA". It matches the Rfam family "Bacterial small subunit ribosomal RNA", at positions 30 to 507 of the family's 1533-position model. The record is from RNAcentral.